RNAcentral lists this ribosomal RNA (484 nucleotides) under uncultured Acidobacteriota bacterium. RNAcentral's name for it is "bacterial SSU rRNA". It matches the Rfam family "Bacterial small subunit ribosomal RNA", at positions 355 to 857 of the family's 1533-position model. Lineage: Bacteria; Pseudomonadati; Acidobacteriota. The record is from RNAcentral.
UGGGGAAUCUUGCACAAUGGGGGAAACCCUGAUGCAGCGACGCCGCGUGAGCGAUGAAGCCCUUCGGGGUGUAAAGCUCUUUCGGCAGGGAAGAUGAUGACGGUACCUGCAGAAGCAGCUGCGGCUAACUACGUGCCAGCAGCCGCGGUAAUACGUAGGCAGCAAGCGUUGUUCGGAGUUACUGGGCGUAAAGGGUGCGUAGGCGGUUGUUUAAGUUUGGUGUGAAAUCUCCCGGCUCAACUGGGAGGGUGCGCCGAAUACUGAAUGACUAGAGUGCGGGAGAGGAGAGUGGAAUUCCUGGUGUAGCGGUGAAAUGCGUAGAUAUCAGGAGGAACACCGGUGGUGUAGACGGCUCUCUGGACCGUAACUGACGCUGAGGCACGAAAGCGUGGGUAGCAAACAGGAUUAGAUACCCUGGUAGUCCACGCCCUAAACGAUGCAUAUUUGGUGUGGGCAGUUCAGUCUGUCCGUGCCGGAGCUAACG